GGCUCGAGUUCAGCACAACAACUGAUCAAAUCCCAACAGCCGAUGUGGUUGUCGAUACUAUAACAGAAGCCUUGAGUAACCCAAACAAAACCGUCAACCUGACUCUUGAUCCAAACUCCAUCACAGUUAUUCCUCCAGUAGUACCAACAAUAACUACCGGGCCAAUGACAACUGGCUUUACUCUAACUUCCUCACCAGUUGUGGUUCUCACAGCAACCUUGGAAAGACCAUUUGUAAAAGAGCUCAACAAUCGCAGCAGUGAACAGUACAGAGAACUUGAAAGACAAGUGGUGACAACGUGCGACCUAAUCUUCAGAGAGAGAUUCUGGCUCAUUUUCAUCCGCAC
Molecule: long non-coding RNA, 346 nt
Organism: Gymnodraco acuticeps
Lineage: Eukaryota; Metazoa; Chordata; Actinopteri; Perciformes; Bathydraconidae
Exons: 3
Source: RefSeq, a predicted model, not a curated record